Molecule: RNase P RNA, 358 nt
Filed under: Lachnospiraceae bacterium
Lineage: Bacteria; Bacillati; Bacillota; Clostridia; Lachnospirales; Lachnospiraceae
Description: RNase P RNA component class A
Rfam family: Bacterial RNase P class A
About the family: Ribonuclease P (RNase P) is a ubiquitous endoribonuclease, found in archaea, bacteria and eukarya as well as chloroplasts and mitochondria. Its best characterised activity is the generation of mature 5'-ends of tRNAs by cleaving the 5'-leader elements of precursor-tRNAs.
Source: RNAcentral
UAAGUGGGACGGAUGGUCGCGCGGGAUAUCCCGUGAGGAAAGUCCGGGCUUCACAGGGCAGGGUGCCGGAUAACGUCCGGUGGAGGUGACUCCAAGGCCAGUGCAACAGAAAUAAACCGCAUGUGCAUUUUGCACGUGUAAGGGUGGAAAGGCAGUGUAAGAGACUACCGCCUCGCUGGUAACAGAGAGGGCACAUGUAAACCCCAUCCGGAGCAAGACCAGAUAAAAGCAAUGUGGCUGCCCGUCACGCUUUAGGUAGGUCGCUUGAGCCUGGUGGUAACAUCAGGACCAGAUAGAUGAUCAUCCCGGCUGGAAUUUCCGGCUAUGACAUAACCCGGCUUACAGUUCCGCUUAUCAU